GACCUACGGGGCGCAGCAGUGGGGAAUAUUGGGCAAUGGGCGCAAGCCUGACCCAGCAACGCCGCGUGAAGGAAGAAGGCUUUCGGGUUGUAAACUUCUUUUCUCAGGGACGAAGAAAGUGACGGUACCUGAGGAAUAAGCCACGGCUAACUACGUGCCAGCAGCCGCGGUAAUACGUAGGUGGCAGGCGUUAUCCGGAUUUACUGGGUGUAAAGGGCGUGUAGGCGGGGAAGCAAGUCAGAUGUGAAAACCGCGGGCUCAACCUGUGGCCUGCAUUUGAAACUGUUUUUCUUG
This 294-nucleotide ribosomal RNA is filed under the name uncultured bacterium. RNAcentral's name for it is "partial 16S ribosomal RNA". It matches the Rfam family "Bacterial small subunit ribosomal RNA", at positions 335 to 644 of the family's 1533-position model. The record is from RNAcentral.